UGAAACAAUGCUACCGUUUGAAGGGUGGGCAGAGAUGAGCACUGACAGGCACUGGCCAUGCCCAAGUCCUGUGAAUAAGCGCCAGGCCAGACACGCCCACAAGGAUACCAUGAGUCAGGAGACCAGUCCAAUGUGUCAAUGUUUUGACCUUUAUAUGACUUGUGUGGUGGUUUGCAAUGACAUGACCUGGGAUCGAACCCCUAACCUUCCAAUUUCAGGGCAGACUGUUUAACCACAAGGUCACUGAAUGUUUUCUGCAAAAAAAUAAUACUGCUAAUUUAAAACGUAUCCGAAGGAGGGAGGAUAGAGGAAUGCCUAGCGAUGGAGUUCAGUAUAUCUGUGUAAAGAGGACAGUAUGUUAUCUUCAGAGAAAAGCAACCAGAAACCAAGAACAGAUAAAGCCUUUCUGUGACUCUGGGAUUAUAACUAACUAUUUACUCAUACAAUUUAAUUGGUUGGUGAUAAACAAAUUACAAACCUAUCUGAUUGGACCUGCAUGAUACUGUAGUAUCACUUAACCUUUUGAAAUUACAGGGCAGAUGUUGAUGUACAGUAUAUAACCCGGAAAAGCUAUAAACCCAUGUGGUGAAAUAGUUUAGGUGCUUGCUAUAAGCAAUAUGGUGUAACUGCAGACCGCAAUUAGGGGUGUUUUUUGAGGGUUAUGGUGUUUCCAGUAAACGUUGGUGUGUGGUGUCAAUGACACCUUGAAUGGGUUGAUCACUGAGGUCAUUGACAUGGGUAUGAUUCCAGAGUCAUUACUGUAAACUGGUUUCGAUUUCUAUGUUUUUAUCGGUGGCGCGAUCAUCAUGACAUCAUUUACAGAGCUAUUUAGCUAUUUAGUCACUUUCAGAUGAGGCGUGGCUCUAGAGUUACUGUCAUUAUUAUUGGCUGAUUACAUUUUAGAACCUGGAUGUAACUGCUGUAGGCUAGUUGGUAGUGGAAUGACAGGGAGACAGACACACAGACGUGAGAAUCCGUCUCAUUUCUGGCACAGGAUGUUGUUGGAGAGUCAUGCAUUCUUACUUUCUAUUUCUAAACCACCAUGCCUGCAUGCAUAAAGAGACUCUUUUCGGUGGAAAUCCCCAAGGGAUUCUCAAAGGAGAUUGUUUCCUGAAGCAGGAGUCUGGAAUGCAGCAAACAAGUCUGGGCUCCCAUUGGAAUGUACACCUACUCCCAUUUAUAUGCACACGCAGACACAAGCAUGCAUGUACAUGUACACACACAUAUACACACACUUGAAAACAGGUGGACACAAAUGCAUGUGUAGGAAUA
Long non-coding RNA from Oncorhynchus mykiss (rainbow trout), 1272 nucleotides. RefSeq lists it as uncharacterized. The record is from RefSeq and is a predicted model, not a curated record. NCBI's taxonomy places the organism in Eukaryota, Metazoa, Chordata, Actinopteri, Salmoniformes, Salmonidae.